Molecule: non-coding RNA, 21 nt
Filed under: Caenorhabditis elegans
Lineage: Eukaryota; Metazoa; Nematoda; Chromadorea; Rhabditida; Rhabditidae
Source: RNAcentral
CGAUCGGAUUAAUUUUUGAAA